GGGGUGUAAGAAGGACAUUUGUGG
This 24-nucleotide non-coding RNA is filed under the name Cricetulus griseus (Chinese hamster). The record is from RNAcentral. Lineage: Eukaryota; Metazoa; Chordata; Mammalia; Rodentia; Cricetidae.